Molecule: long non-coding RNA, 386 nt
Filed under: Ananas comosus (pineapple)
Lineage: Eukaryota; Viridiplantae; Streptophyta; Magnoliopsida; Poales; Bromeliaceae
Description: long non-coding RNA (ACOM_LNC035347)
Source: RNAcentral
UUGUUUAUCUUUGCAUGAUUAAUUAACAACUUUUAUAAAAUUUAUAAUUAUAAAUUUAUUAAAGCAAGCAAUUAGCUUAAAUUUUGUACUGAAAGAAUCAUCAAAUGAACUAAAUUAACCAAAUUGAAAGAUUGAGUUUAAAAUCAAAACUUUAAAAAUAUUGGAUAGCUGAAUCAAAAUAGUCCAAAUUUUAGAUAAUUUUUACACAUUUUUAUCUUUUUUUUUAAUUACAUCUGACAUAUAGGAACUACACCAACAGGCACGGAAUUAAUACCAAGCUCUGAUACUAUAUUACCAAAGAAAUUAAUUUACUAAAAAUAAUCCAAAAUUCGUCUUAACACAAAUUAAUUACCUUAUUAUAUUCCAUAUUUCCAUGUCAUCUAGAA